This 252-nucleotide ribosomal RNA is filed under the name uncultured bacterium. RNAcentral's name for it is "partial 16S ribosomal RNA". It matches the Rfam family "Bacterial small subunit ribosomal RNA", at positions 524 to 776 of the family's 1533-position model. The record is from RNAcentral.
UACGUAGGUGGCAAGCGUUAUCCGGAAUUAUUGGGCGUAAAGAGUGAGCAGGCGGUUGUCUAAGUCCGAAGUCAAAUGCUGUGGCUUAACCACAGUUCGCUUCGGAAACUAGUCGACUAGAGUGCGAGAGAAGUUUGUGGAAUUCCAUGUGUAGCGGUGAAAUGCGUAGAUAUAUGGAGGAACACCAGUGGCGAAGGCGGCAAACUAGCUCGUAACUGACGCUCAUUCACGAAAGCGUGGGUAGCAAAUAGG